This 466-nucleotide ribosomal RNA is filed under the name uncultured bacterium. Its description in RNAcentral is "partial 16S ribosomal RNA". It matches the Rfam family "Bacterial small subunit ribosomal RNA", at positions 338 to 795 of the family's 1533-position model. The record is from RNAcentral.
CCUACGGGUGGGCAGCAGUAGGGAAUCUUCCACAAUGGGCGAAAGCCUGAUGGAGCAACGCCGCGUGGGUGAAGAAGGUCUUCGGAUCGUAAAACCCUGUUGUUAGAGCAAAAAGGGCGGGAGAGUAACUGUUCACGUUUCAACGGUAUCUAACCAGAAAGCCACGGCUAACUACGUGCCAGCAGCCGCGGUAAUACGUAGGUGGCAAGCGUUAUCCGGAUUUAUUUGGCGUAAAGGGAACUCAGUCGGUCUUUUAAGUCUGAUGUGAAAGCCUUCGGCUUAACAGGGGUAGUGCAUUGGAAACUGGGAGAGUUGAGUGCCGAAGAGGAGAGUGGAACUCCAUGUGUAGCGGUGAAAUGCGUAGGUAUAUGGAAGAACACCAGUGGCGAAAGCGGCUCUCUGGUCUGUAACUGACGCUGAGGUUCGAAAGCGUGGGUAGCAAACAGGAGUAGAUACCCCAGUAGUC